AGUGAACGCUGGCGGUAGGCCUAACACAUGCAAGUCGAACGGCAGCACAGUAAGAGCUUGCUCUUACGGGUGGCGAGUGGCGGACGGGUGAGGAAUACAUCGGAAUCUACUUUUUCGUGGGGGAUAACGUAGGGAAACUUACGCUAAUACCGCAUACGACCUACGGGUGAAAGCAGGGGAUCUUCGGACCUUGCGCGAUUGGAUGAGCCGAUGUCGGAUUAGCUAGUUGGCGGGGUAAAGGCCCACCAAGGCGACGAUCCGUAGCUGGUCUGAGAGGAUGAUCAGCCACACUGGAACUGAGACACGGUCCAGACUCCUACGGGAGGCAGCAGUGGGGAAUAUUGGACAAUGGGCGCAAGCCUGAUCCAGCCAUACCGCGUGGGUGAAGAAGGCCUUCGGGUUGUAAAGCCCUUUUGUUGGGAAAGAAAGGCAGCAGGUUAAUACCCCGCUGUUCUGACGGUACCCAAAGAAUAAGCACCGGCUAACUUCGUG
This 492-nucleotide ribosomal RNA is filed under the name uncultured bacterium. RNAcentral's name for it is "partial 16S ribosomal RNA". It matches the Rfam family "Bacterial small subunit ribosomal RNA", at positions 29 to 507 of the family's 1533-position model. The record is from RNAcentral.